RNAcentral lists this ribosomal RNA (371 nucleotides) under uncultured Bacillus sp. Its description in RNAcentral is "bacterial SSU rRNA". It matches the Rfam family "Bacterial small subunit ribosomal RNA", at positions 527 to 896 of the family's 1533-position model. The record is from RNAcentral. Lineage: Bacteria; Bacillati; Bacillota; Bacilli; Caryophanales; Bacillaceae.
GUAGGUGGCAAGCGUUGUCCGGAAUUAUUGGGCGUAAAGCGCGCGCAGGCGGUCCUUUAAGUCUGAUGUGAAAUCCCACGGCUCAACCGUGGAAGGUCAUUGGAAACUGGGGGACUUGAGUACAGAAGAGGAAAGCGGAAUUCCAAGUGUAGCGGUGAAAUGCGUAGAGAUUUGGAGGAACACCAGUGGCGAAGGCGGCUUUCUGGUCUGUAACUGACGCUGAGGCGCGAAAGCGUGGGGGGCAAACAGGAUUAGAUACCCUGGUAGUCCACGCCGUAAACGAUGAGUGCUAAGUGUUAGGGGGUUUCCGCCCCUUAGUGCUGCAGCUAACGCAUUAAGCACUCCGCCUGGGGAGUACGGUCGCAAGACUG